UGUUUUAUGUUUACAACUAUAAAAUAUUUUCCUGCCCAAUGUAAAAUAAAUGGCUGCGGUAUCCUAACCGUACAAAGGUAGCAUAAUAAAUUGCCCAUUAAUUGUGGGAUAGAAUGAAUGGAAUAAUGAGAAAGAAACUAUAUAAUUAAUAUGAAAUAAAAUUAUCAUUUAAGUGAAGAGACUUAAAUAAAAUUACAGGACAAGAAGACCCUAUAGAGCUUAAAUUAAAAUAUCUAAUAAAUAUCUCCAUUUAGGUUGGGGCGACCAUAAAUAAAAACAUUUAAUCAUCACAGAUAGACAAAUCACUAUAAAGAUCCUAAUAUAGAUCAAAGAACAAAGUUACCUUAGGGAUAACAGGCUAAUCUUAUUUAAGAGUCCAUAUCUACAAUAAGGAUUGGCACCUCGAUGUUGGCUUAGAAAAACUUUAAUAACGCAAUAGUUAUAAAAGUGGGUUUGUUCAACCCAUAAUAUUCU
Molecule: ribosomal RNA, 474 nt
Filed under: Marionina sp. B LM-2012
Lineage: Eukaryota; Metazoa; Annelida; Clitellata; Enchytraeida; Enchytraeidae
Description: partial 16S ribosomal RNA
Rfam family: Bacterial large subunit ribosomal RNA
Source: RNAcentral